UACAGAGGAGCCAAGCGUUGUCCGGAUUGACUGGGCGUAAAGCGCACGCAGGUGGUCGUGCAAGUGUCGUGUGAAAGCAGCUCGCUUAACGAGCUGAGGCCAUCGCAGACUGCAUAACUCGAGCCCGUGAGAGAUCCGUGGAAUUGCCGGUGUAGUAGUGAAAUACGUAGAGAUCGGCAGGAACACCCAAGGGGAAGCCAGCGGACUGGCACGGUGCUGACACUGAGGUGCGAGAGCGUGGGGAGCGAACCGG
RNAcentral lists this ribosomal RNA (253 nucleotides) under uncultured bacterium. RNAcentral's name for it is "partial 16S ribosomal RNA". It matches the Rfam family "Bacterial small subunit ribosomal RNA", at positions 524 to 776 of the family's 1533-position model. The record is from RNAcentral.